UACGUAGGGUGCGAGCGUUAAUCGGAAUUACUGGGCGUAAAGCGUGCGCAGGCGGUUUUGUAAGCCAGAUGUGAAAUCCCCGGGCUUAACCUGGGAAUGGCAUUUGGGACUGCAAGGCUGGAGUGUGGAAGAGGAGAAUGGAAUUCCUGGUGUAGCGGUGAAAUGCGCAGAUAUCAGGAAGAACACCAAUGGCGAAGGCAGUUCUCUGGGACGGUACUGACGCUGAGACGCGAAAGCGUGGGGAGCGAACAGG
This 253-nucleotide ribosomal RNA is filed under the name uncultured bacterium. RNAcentral's name for it is "partial 16S ribosomal RNA". It matches the Rfam family "Bacterial small subunit ribosomal RNA", at positions 524 to 776 of the family's 1533-position model. The record is from RNAcentral.